This 77-nucleotide ribosomal RNA is filed under the name Ligilactobacillus murinus. RNAcentral describes it as "Lactobacillus murinus partial 16S ribosomal RNA". It matches the Rfam family "Bacterial small subunit ribosomal RNA", at positions 1 to 75 of the family's 1533-position model. The record is from RNAcentral. Lineage: Bacteria; Bacillati; Bacillota; Bacilli; Lactobacillales; Lactobacillaceae.
UUUAAAUUGAGAGUUUGAUCCUGGCUCAGGAUGAACGCUGGCGGCGUGCCUAAUACAUGCAAGUCGAACGAAACUUC